Molecule: ribosomal RNA, 372 nt
Filed under: uncultured bacterium
Lineage: Bacteria
Description: bacterial SSU rRNA
Rfam family: Bacterial small subunit ribosomal RNA
Source: RNAcentral
UACGGAGGAUCCGAGCGUUAUCCGGAUUUAUCGGGUUUAAAGGGUGCGUAGGCGGCCUAUUAAGUCAGGGGUGAAAUACGGUGGCUCAACCAUCGCAGUGCCUUUGAUACUGAUGGGCUUGAAUCCAUUUGAAGUGGGCGGAAUAAGACAAGUAGCGGUGAAAUGCAUAGAUAUGUCUUAGAACUCCGAUUGCGAAGGCAGCUCACUAAGCUGGUAUUGACGCUGAUGCACGGAAGCGUGGGGAUCGAACAGGAUUAGAUACCCUGGUAGUCCACGCCCUAAACGAUGAUAACUCGAUGUUGGCGAUAGACAGCCAGCGUCCAAGCGAAAGCGUUAAGUUAUCCACCUGGGGAGUACGCCCGCAAGGGUGAA